RNAcentral lists this ribosomal RNA (468 nucleotides) under uncultured bacterium. Its description in RNAcentral is "partial 16S ribosomal RNA". It matches the Rfam family "Bacterial small subunit ribosomal RNA", at positions 28 to 507 of the family's 1533-position model. The record is from RNAcentral.
GACGAACGCUGGCGGCGUGCUUAACACAUGCAAGUCGAACGGAAAGGCCCUGCUUUUGUGGGGUGCUCGAGUGGCGAACGGGUGAGUAACACGUGAGUAACCUGCCCUUGACUGUGGGAUAACUUCAGGAAACUGGGGCUAAUACCGGAUAGGAGCUCCUGCUGCAUGGGGGGGGUUGGAAAGUUUCGGCGGUUUUGGAUGGACUCGCGGCUUAUCAGCUUGUUGGUGGGGUAGUGGCUUACCAAGGCUUUGACGGGUAGCCCGCCUGGGAGGGUGACCGGCCACAAUAGGACUACGAUACGGACCAGACUCCUACGGGAGGCAGCAGUGGGGAAUAUUGCACAAUGGGCCGAAGCCUGAUGCGGCAACGCCGCGUGCGUGAUGCCGUCUUUCGGGUUGUAAACCGCUUUCGCCUGAGACGAAGCGGGAGUGACGGUAAUGGGUAAAGAAGCACCGGCUAACUACGUG